RNAcentral lists this ribosomal RNA (418 nucleotides) under Salmonella enterica subsp. salamae serovar 48:d:z6. Its description in RNAcentral is "bacterial SSU rRNA". It matches the Rfam family "Bacterial small subunit ribosomal RNA", at positions 54 to 468 of the family's 1533-position model. Lineage: Bacteria; Pseudomonadati; Pseudomonadota; Gammaproteobacteria; Enterobacterales; Enterobacteriaceae. The record is from RNAcentral.
CAUGCAAGUCGAACGGUAACAGGAAGCAGCUUGCUGCUUCGCUGACGAGUGGCGGACGGGUGAGUAAUGUCUGGGAAACUGCCUGAUGGAGGGGGAUAACUACUGGAAACGGUGGCUAAUACCGCAUAACGUCGCAAGACCAAAGAGGGGGACCUUCGGGCCUCUUGCCAUCAGAUGUGCCCAGAUGGGAUUAGCUUGUUGGUGAGGUAACGGCUCACCAAGGCGACGAUCCCUAGCUGGUCUGAGAGGAUGACCAGCCACACUGGAACUGAGACACGGUCCAGACUCCUACGGGAGGCAGCAGUGGGGAAUAUUGCACAAUGGGCGCAAGCCUGAUGCAGCCAUGCCGCGUGUAUGAAGAAGGCCUUCGGGUUGUAAAGUACUUUCAGCGGGGAGGAAGGUGUUGUGGUUAAUAACC